UUGAACGCUGGCGGCAGGCCUAACACAUGCAAGUCGAGCGGAUGAAGGGAGCUUGCUCCUGGAUUCAGCGGCGGACGGGUGAGUAAUGCCUAGGAAGCUGCCUGGUAGUGGGGGAUAACGUCCGGAAACGGGCGCUAAUACCGCAUACGUCCUGAGGGAGAAAGUGGGGGAUCUUCGGACCUCACGCUAUCAGAUGAGCCUAGGUCGGAUUAGCUAGUUGGUGGGGUAAAGGCCUACCAAGGCGACGAUCCGUAACUGGUCUGAGAGGAUGAUCAGUCACACUGGAACUGAGACACGGUACAGACUCCUACGGGAGGCCGCAGUGGGGAAUAUUGGACAAUGGGCGAAAGCCUGAUACAGCCAUGCCGCGUGUGUGAAGAAGGUCUUCGGAUUGUAAAGCACUUUAAGUUGGGAGGAAGGGCAGUAAGUUAAUACCUUGCUGUUUUGACGUUACCAACAGAAUAAGCACCGGCUAACUUCGUG
This 483-nucleotide ribosomal RNA is filed under the name uncultured bacterium. RNAcentral's name for it is "partial 16S ribosomal RNA". It matches the Rfam family "Bacterial small subunit ribosomal RNA", at positions 30 to 507 of the family's 1533-position model. The record is from RNAcentral.